AUUGAACGCUGGCGGCAGGCCUAACACAUGCAAGUCGAACGAGUGGCGGACGGGUGAGUAAUGUCUGGGAAACUGCCUGAUGGAGGGGGAUAACUACUGGAAAAGGUAGCUAAUACCGCAUACCAUCGGAUGUGCCCAGCUGGGAUUAGCUAGUAGGUUGGGUAAAGGCUCACCUAGGCGACUAUCCCUAGCUGGUCUGAGAGGAUGACCAGACAGACUGGAACUGAGACACGGUCCAGACUCCUACGGGAGGCAGCAGUGGGGAAUAUUGCAAAAUGGGCGCAAGCCUGAUGCAGCCAUGCCGCGUGUAUGAAGAAGGCCUUCGGGGUGGAAAGUACUUUCAGCGGGGAGGCGUUAACCGCAGAAGAAGCACCGGCUAACUCCGUGCCAGCAGCCGCGGUAAUUC
This 406-nucleotide ribosomal RNA is filed under the name uncultured bacterium. RNAcentral describes it as "partial 16S ribosomal RNA". It matches the Rfam family "Bacterial small subunit ribosomal RNA", at positions 30 to 526 of the family's 1533-position model. The record is from RNAcentral.